AACUAACGCUGGCGGCGUGCCUAACACAUGCAAGUCGUACGAGAAAGCCGGCUUCGGCUGGUGAGUAAAAUGGCGCACGGGUGAGUAACGCGUGGAUAAUCUGCCCUUAAGUGUGGAAUAACGUACCGAAAGGUGCGCUAAUACCGCAUAAUGCCUGGCAACACAAGUUGUCCGGCCAAAGAAGGCCUCUGUUUACAAGCUUUCGCUUCAGGAUGAGUCCGCGUACCAUUAGCUUGUUGGUGGGGUAAUGGCCUACCAAGGCUGCGAUGGUUAGCUGGUCUGAGAGGAUGAUCAGCCACACUGGAACUGAGACACGGUCCAGACUCCUACGGGAGGCAGCAGUGAGGAAUAUUGCGCAAUGGGGGCAACCCUGACGCAGCAACGCCGCGUGAGUGAGGAAGGUUUUCGGACUGUAAAGCUCUGUCGAGCGGGAAGAAGUGUACCAUGGCUAAUAUCCAUGAUAUUUGACGGUACCGCUAGAGG
Molecule: ribosomal RNA, 483 nt
Filed under: uncultured bacterium
Lineage: Bacteria
Description: bacterial SSU rRNA
Rfam family: Bacterial small subunit ribosomal RNA
Source: RNAcentral